Long non-coding RNA from Pseudoliparis swirei, 370 nucleotides. RefSeq lists it as uncharacterized. Lineage: Eukaryota; Metazoa; Chordata; Actinopteri; Perciformes; Liparidae. The transcript is spliced from 2 exons. The record is from RefSeq and is a predicted model, not a curated record.
AUUUCAUCCAGAUACAGGACAGCGCAAAAGAGGUGCUGACAGACAUCAACAGGCCUACAAGCUGAGCAGGGAAUGUAAACGUGAGGCAAUGGGGCAGAACCAUGUACCCAGAGAAGAGGCUGCAAUUAGUGUGCAAUCUCACAUCUAUUUAGUGAAUGAUGGUAAAAAUGUUGAUUGACCGGGGAUGAUGGACAAAUAUAGUAUAUUUCUUACAGAACAUGGCAUUUGGGAAAGGAACAUUUCAUUUGAAUGAAAAAAAGAAGCCUGUGUUUCAAGUCACGUGUUUGUUUUAGUUUUACACAAUUUCCUUUUUAAUGUGUCACCACACAUGCAGUUAAUAUAAAUAAAUCAAUUCAGACCAAAAGGUCAA